RNAcentral lists this ribosomal RNA (487 nucleotides) under Agnotecous tapinopus. RNAcentral's name for it is "partial 16S ribosomal RNA". It matches the Rfam family "Archaeal large subunit ribosomal RNA", at positions 1914 to 2650 of the family's 2987-position model. Lineage: Eukaryota; Metazoa; Arthropoda; Insecta; Orthoptera; Gryllidae. The record is from RNAcentral.
UCUUCUACWAUUAAUUGGAAGUCGGGCCUGUCCACUGAUAAUUAUUGAAGGGCCGCGGUAUUUUGACCGUGCAAAGGUAGCAUAAUCAUUAGUCUUUUAAUUGAAGGCUGGAAUGAAUGGUUUGACGAAAUAAUAUCUGUCUCAGUAUAAAUAUAUUGAAUUUUACUUUUAAGUUAAAAGGCUUAAAUWUUAAUAAGGGACGAGAAGACCCUAUAGAUCUUUAUAAUGUAUUUUAUAUUAUUGAUUUUGGAUGUAUAAUUUAAUAUAUAAUUUAUUUUAUUUUGUUGGGGUGAUAUGAGAAUAUAUUAACUUCUUGUUUUUUUACUUNGAUAGAAGAUUAUAUGAUCCUUUAAUAUGGAAUGAAGAUUAAGAUACCUUAGGGAUAACAGCGUAAUCUUAUUGGAGAGUUCUUAUUGAUAAUAAGGAUUGCGACCUCCAUGUUGGAUUAAGAAAAUAUAUUAAUGUCGAUGUUAAUAUUAUUGGUCUG